AUUUCGUUCAAUUUCUAAGUUUAUAACAUGUUUAUUUCAGCUGUUGAUAAUCAAUGAUAGGUAAUUAAUAAAUACAGAAUCAAUUAUUAAUAGCUAAAAUUAAUAGUUUUAUAGCUAAAAUUAUUAGUUUUAGUGUUUUAAAGCUUGUUUAGCUUAGCAUAUACGAUUAAGAGGGUGCUCGUCCUAUAAAAUCUAAAAAUAAAACUAAACUGUUCAUUUAUAAUAUUUUUUGAGCUUAUAAAUAGAAUUUAUAAACUAAAAAAAAAUCAAUUGAAAGCACCAGUUAAGCACUAUACUUA
RNAcentral lists this unclassified non-coding RNA (299 nucleotides) under Hevea brasiliensis (rubber tree). The record is from RNAcentral. Lineage: Eukaryota; Viridiplantae; Streptophyta; Magnoliopsida; Malpighiales; Euphorbiaceae.